Long non-coding RNA from Capra hircus (goat), 443 nucleotides. RefSeq lists it as uncharacterized. The record is from RefSeq and is a predicted model, not a curated record. Lineage: Eukaryota; Metazoa; Chordata; Mammalia; Artiodactyla; Bovidae. The transcript has 4 exons.
UCCAGGCCUACCGUGUUAUCUAUGAUGAGAAAAGGAGCUACAAUCCAGGCAUUACUGGAUCAUUCUCUCUCUCUUUUUUUUUUUUCCCCAAGAGAGUCGAAAGAAUUGAAUCCAGCAAGGAACCAGAAGCUGUGCCAUCAACCUCAGGCUCGGUAUCUCUUCUUGCCUGUUCACUGGAUGCCAGUCCCUGGAUGCCAGCUGUUAUACUGUACUACUGGACUUUGCAAGCUCAUUCUCACCUCAGCUUGAGCGGUUUGAGGAGGGUAAGAAUGGACAUGAGGAAUCAACUUAGGAGGCUACUUCCUGACAAUGGUGGCUUGAGUGAAGAUGGAGAGAAGGAAAUGUAUCCAAGAGACAUUUGGAGUUUUGCUAAAGUUUUGCCCAAGCAAUAAUGCUGAAGAAGCUGAAGUUCAAUGAUUCCAUGAAGACCUACAAGACCUUCU